ACGGAGGGUGCAAGCGUUAAUCGGAAUUACUGGGCGUAAAGCGUGCGUAGGUGGUUGACUAAGUUAUCUGUGAAAUCCCCGGGCUUAACCUGGGCAGGUCAGAUGAUACUGGUUGACUCGAGUAUGGGAGAGGGUAGUGGAAUUUCCGGUGUAGCGGUGAAAUGCGUAGAGAUCGGAAGGAACACCAGUGGCGAAGGCGGCUACCUGGCCUAAUACUGACACUGAGGCACGAAAGCGUGGGGAGCAAACA
Molecule: ribosomal RNA, 250 nt
Filed under: uncultured bacterium
Lineage: Bacteria
Description: partial 16S ribosomal RNA
Rfam family: Bacterial small subunit ribosomal RNA
Source: RNAcentral